This is a long non-coding RNA of Phyllopteryx taeniolatus (common seadragon), 4199 nucleotides long. RefSeq lists it as uncharacterized. The transcript has 4 exons. Lineage: Eukaryota; Metazoa; Chordata; Actinopteri; Syngnathiformes; Syngnathidae. The record is from RefSeq and is a predicted model, not a curated record.
UCGGGGUUGAGGGGUUGAUUCCCGGGACAUUGGGCGGCGCACACGCAGCCGCACAGCUCCUCGUCCCAGCGUUGGCCGACGGGGCACCACUUCCCCUCGCCCUGACCUUCGCACUGACAUUCACCUGCAGGGAAACGGUCUGCUCAGUUUCCAGCCCGGACCGCAGCUGGCCUCAGUGAGCCCGUUUCGACAGACGCACUCGCAGCUGGGCUCCUUCAGAACCCUGUUGGGGCCGCAGAGAGCCAGCAGCCCCGAGUCCAAAGCCUCUGGAAGCCACAGAGGUGAUCUGUUGCGGCUCGUCUGAUGAUGGAGUGAAGCGGCCGCUUGAGGAAGCACUCGCACCUCGUGUGAUUGACGAACGUUACCAUGACAACUGAGCGCUCCUUCCUGAGUGGCGAUAGCUCCAUCAGCUGUGAGGAUGGAGGAGGAGGAAAAGUGGACGUGACUGAGGACAGCUUGCGGACGUAAAGGGGGAAGGGUGCGCGUGAAGCAGGACGCUAAAGACACGUCCCCGGUAAGUAUAUAGUUCCGGUAUGUGCAUCGGUUUGGCUAAGGACCCCCGAAAAUGGCACCUACAAAGAGACGCGCUUAUGAAGCACAGUUUAAACUGCAAGCGUAUUUAGGGUCAUUAUCCGUUUUCAUUGUGAACGCAGAGGAACAUGGUGCAGCUGCAGCCACGAGAGAAUUCAAGAUAAACGAAUCCAUGGUUUGCAAGUGGAGGAAGCAGGAAAACGAGCUUCGCCAAGUCAAGAAGACGAAGCUGAGUUUCCACGGGAAAAAAAAGACAACCAAUACGCUGAAACAAGGCGAGGUGGCCCGAGUUGGAAGACCAACUCGAGCAAAGAACAGCCGGGAGCAGCGUCUCUACAGUCACCAUUCGACUGAGUGCAACAACUCUGAGCUUGCCAUCAUUCCCGAGGCUUGACGAACUGCUGGACAUCCGUGUAAACAGGGCGUUCAAAGUGAAGUUGUGAGCGGUAUGGGAGCCAUGGAUGACAGAUGGUCGAACACCGCUUUACUAAGUCUAGGAGGCAGCGCCGGGCGAGUUCCGCCACAAUUUGUGACUGGAUUGUGGAUCCUGGGGCUAACAUGUCUGCUUGCACUGUUGUUCGAGCUUUCGUAAAAGCCGGCAUCAUUUCUGAGGAGCCGCACGGCAACGAGACUGACUCAGACAAUGACGAGAGGGAACCUAGCGCGUUUGAUGGAGAACUUGUCCAGCUGUUUAUUUCGGAUACAGAAGAUGAGGACUUUGAUUGAUUUGUGGAUGAGGAUUGAUCAAAAAAUAACGUGAGUACAUUGUUAAAUACUUCAAUAAAGUACAACUGAACUCAGUUUUGCUACCGCUGCCUUUUUAAAAACAUUGUUUUAGCGUGCAUGCAUGCUACCGUUUGUUUUAAGCUAGCGUAUGUUUUACCAUGCCUGCGCCCAAUAAUACGGUGCACCUUAUGUCUGUGUUAAAUGCAGAAAUAGACCCUGUAACUGAGACUGCACCUUUUAAUACAGCGUGCCUUAUGGUCGUGAAAAUACGGUACUUGCAAAUAAAAGCCGAAACGGUCAUAUCUUGUUUCCAUCUUUCAAUGUCAACUCACAGGAAUUGUCAUUACUUUUCCAAUAUUUUGGAGCAAAGUAAAGGUCAAGAAGUAUUAUUUCGCUUUUAUACACCCGCAAAAAUGGACCAAAAAAAAUGCAGGCUUUCGGAUUUGAUUGAAGAGGCAUCACAAAAAUUGGGGAUUUACCAUUCAGGAAAUACAGCCGUUUUGUGUAGAGUACAUCCAUUUUCAGGACUCAAUCGUAUUUGAACAAUUGACGUGAUUGGAAAUAUAACUGCAUUUCAAUACAGUGAUAUGAGUCACCCGACUUAAGAGUUUUGCGAGACACAAGCUGUUAAUCGACCGAUUUUUGGGUGUGACUCGAGUACUAACUGCAGAUAAAAGCGGUGUAGGGUGGCAGGUGACUCAACUCACUUCAUAACAACCAUCAGUUUGACAGAUAAAAGUAAAUAUUCAUAAUAUAGAAGAGGGUUCAAGCUGUUUAUUGCCGCUCUCAGCUUAAGAUUACUCAAAGACUUAACAUAAAACAAAGAGAAUUACGCGUGUAUUUAGAACAACUGCAUAGCCUCCACUAGCUUAAUGCUAACAUACAAUGGGAAACACCAUUGGGACACGGGCUAACAAUUAGGAUCUAUGUGGUGGUGUUGUUACUCUUUAAGCGACACAUCUGAACACAAAUCGGUGCAGGAACAUGGAGACAGAUGUGCGCAAGAGUCACAUCGCAGGGUCUGCUGCGAUUUCUGUAAUGUUCUGUAAUAUACAGUGAAUGAACUGUAAUAUUAAAAGCGACCAGCAGAGGCACCUGCAAAUAGAAAGAAUGUACACGCUGCAUUUCCUAUUUAGCUCUUCAGAAUGAAACUACUGAAGGCAUGCUGCACCGGCAGCUUCGUGAGUGUACAAAGUGCGUUCAGGGGAGUGAAUGUGUUCUUUUGUAAUGCAGUACAUAAAUGUAAAAAUGGAUUACUAGGAAAAUUAUUUGCAUCAGAAUGCUGUAGUUAAAACACUGUGAUAGUAUGGAAUUCGUUUUAUAAUAGGACUAUAGAUAAAUUAUUUUCUUAACAUAGUCAGCCGGAGCUGCAAGGAAUGCAAUGCUAUCAAUGUCCUUUCACCAUCGUUCCUGUCAUACUGUGUUGAGUGUUUUUGUUUGCACAUUUGAGGACAAAAGUCUUGUUUUUGUUUUAAUUCCUCUUUUUAAAACACCAUUCAAGCAACAGGUUUUUUUCCUCAUGUUUUUAUACUUGUACAGUGAAAGCUGCAGCUGGCUCAGUGGGUGGCAACAAUGGGAAAAUGAAAUGGCAGUAUUUUGAGGGUCAUAACACAUCAGCUCCGUCCAUCCAUUUUCUGAGCCGCUUCUCCUCACUAGGGUCGCGGGCAUGCUGGAGCCUAUCCCAGCUAUCAUCUUGCAGGAGGCGGGGUACACCGUGAACUGGUUGCCAGCCAAUCGCAUGGCACAUAUAAACAAACAACCAUUUGCAACAUUAACACCUACGGGCAAUUUAGAGUUGUCAUUUAACCUACCAUGCAUGUUUUUGGGAUGUGGGAGGAAACCGGAGUGCCCGGAGAAAACCCACGCAGGCACAGGGAGAACAUGCAAACUCCACACAGGCAGGAUUGAACCCCAGACCUCAGAACUGUGAGGCAGAUGCUCUAACCAGUCGUCCGCCAUCAGCAACAUAUUGAGGGAAAAAAAGAACUAUGAACGAGUUUAUUUUUGGACCGGUAAACGUAGUCCAAUAUUUUGAAUUAUGAACUAUAAACUGAACUAGUUUAUUUUUGGACCGAUGAACUGAACUUUGAACUAGUUUGCAGAGUUUGUGCCUUUCCCAACACUGAUCCUGUAUUAUUUUACAUAGCAAUAUAUAUCGCAGGUUUGGAGAAAAAAAAUUGUUUAUAAGCCAUAAUAUUAUAGUUAUUUUUCCUCAUUAAAAAGUUUUUUUUUUUUUAUGUACUUGUUUACAAUUACAACAAGUUUUGCCAGGCCAUCACCGCAGCUACCUUUCACUUGCUGCCUGUUUGUAGUUCUGCCGGCCUUUACUUUUGUCUGAAGUAAGUGACAGGCAUGCUCAAUUGGCUUGACAUCAGGCCACCGACUGGGCCAUUGGGGAAUAUUCCAUUUAUUUACCUUCAAAAGUCCUCAAUUGCUUUCACAGCGUAUUUAGGGUCAUUAUCCGUUUUCAUUGUGAAGCACAGUCGUAUCGGCUUUGUAGUUGAUUGUGAGCAUAAAGUACACUGCAGUCCUCUACUAUAUACCACACAGUAAUGUGUUUUUAAUAAAACAGCAUUUGAUAAUGUAUUUUAUAAAAACAUAACAAUAACAUAAUUACAUAGAAUCUAAAGAAUUUAACAGUUUGUGCAGCAUAUGAAUUAAUUGUGGCUCCUGCUCCCGUCGUCGUUGCCAUGGAGCAUUCUGCUCUGACCGACCGGGUCAGGUCCGAAGGCAUCUACCCUGCAGCGCCUUUUCUCUUUAAAUGGGCUCUUAUGUCAUCUUAAUGAACAUUGUACAGCACCAGACAAUGUGAUAAAUUUCGCCCACUCGACAUCCAUUGCAGCCUGUUCAUCCUGGAAGGGGAAUCCCCCCCAUCUGCGCUCCCUUCUCAAGGUUUCUUUUUUCCCCCCAUUUGAGGGGGUCUUGUGUUUUUCCUUGCCCGA